AUACGUAGGGAGCAAGCGUUGUCCGGAAUUACUGGGCGUAAAGGGCGCGUAGGUGGAUGCUUAAGUCAGAUGUGAAAACUCCGGGCUCAACUUGGAGAUUGCAUUUGAAACUGGGUAUCUUGAGGGUAGGAGAGGAAAGCGGAAUUCCCAGUGUAGCGGUGAAAUGCGUAGAGAUUAGGAAGAACACCAGUGGCGAGGGCGACUUUCUGGACCGUAACUGACGCUGAGGCAUGAAAGCGUGGGUAGC
This 247-nucleotide ribosomal RNA is filed under the name uncultured bacterium. Its description in RNAcentral is "partial 16S ribosomal RNA". It matches the Rfam family "Bacterial small subunit ribosomal RNA", at positions 523 to 769 of the family's 1533-position model. The record is from RNAcentral.